GGCGAGCGUUAUCCGGAUUUAUUGGGCGUAAAGCGCAUGCAGGUGGCUAGGUAAGUCGGGUGUGAAAGCCCCGGACUUAAUCCGGGGAGGUCAUUCGAUACUGCUUGGCUUGAGAGCGGGAGAGGGAAGUGGAAUUCUCGGUGUAGUGGUGAUAUGCGUAGAUAUCGAGAGGAACACCAGUGGCGAAGGCGGCUUCCUGGCCCGCAUCUGACACUAAGAUGCGAAAGCGUGGGUAGCAAACGGACUUAGAUACUCCGGUAGUCCACGCUGUAAACGAUGGGUACUAGGUGUAGGGGGUGUAAAACUCUCUGUGCCAUAGUUAACGCACUAAGUACCCCGCCUGGGGACUACGGUCGCAAGGCUAAAACUCAAAGGAAUUGACGGGGGCCCGCACAAGCAGCGGAGCGUGUGGUUCAAUUCGAAGAUACACGAAGAACCUUACCUGGGCUUGACAUGUUGGUAGUAGUGAAGCGAAAGCGGAACGAUCCUUCGGGAAGCCAUCACAGGUGCUGCAUGGCUGUCGUCAGCUCGUGCCGUGAGGUGUUGGGUUAAGUCCUGUAACGAGCGCAACCCUCGCUGCCAGUUACAAGUGUCUGGCGGGACUGCCGGUGACAAACCGGAGGAAGGUGGGGAUGACGUCAAGUCAGCAUGGCCUUUAUGUCCAGGGCUACACACACGCUACAAUGGCCGGUACAAUAGGUUGCCAAGUCGUGAGGCGGAGCUAAUCCUCAAAACCGGUCUCAGUUCGAAUUGCAGGCUGCAACCCGCCUGCAUGAAGUUGGAGUUGCUAGUAAACGCGCGUCAGCAAUAGUGCGUUGAAUACGUUCCCGGGCAUUGUACACACCGCCCGUCACGUCAUGGGAGUUGGUACACCUGAAGACAGUGGGCU
This 889-nucleotide ribosomal RNA is filed under the name uncultured organism. Its description in RNAcentral is "bacterial SSU rRNA". It matches the Rfam family "Bacterial small subunit ribosomal RNA", at positions 533 to 1436 of the family's 1533-position model. The record is from RNAcentral.